RNAcentral lists this ribosomal RNA (306 nucleotides) under uncultured bacterium. RNAcentral's name for it is "partial 16S ribosomal RNA". It matches the Rfam family "Bacterial small subunit ribosomal RNA", at positions 505 to 810 of the family's 1533-position model. The record is from RNAcentral.
GACAGAGCAGCCACGGUAAUACGUAGGUGGCAAGCGUUGUCCGGAAUUAUUGGGCGUAAAGCGCGCGCAGGCGGAUAGGUCAGUCCGUCUUAAAAGUUCGGGGCUUAACCCCGUGAUGGGAUGGAAACUGCCAAUCUAGAGUAUCGGAGAGGAAAGUGGAAUUCCUAGUGUAGCGGUGAAAUGCGUAGAUAUUAGGAAGAACACCAGUGGCGAAGGCGACUUUCUGGACGAAAACUGACGCUGAGGCGCGAAAGCCAGGGGAGCGAACGGGAUUAGAUACCCCGGUAGUCCCUGUCUCUUAUACAC